AUCCAGCUGGAGAGUUUCAAAAUAAGACGAAACGCGCGUCCUGGAU
Non-coding RNA from Schistosoma haematobium, 46 nucleotides. Lineage: Eukaryota; Metazoa; Platyhelminthes; Trematoda; Strigeidida; Schistosomatidae. The record is from Rfam.